UGAAGUGGGGAAAUGUUCCAUGUGAACAUCACUUGGACAUGGUCGGUUAGUCGAUCCUAAGAGAUGGGGAAUUCUUGUAUCAAGGGUGCACUCUGCAUGAACAUCAAAAGAGAAUUGGGUUAAUAUUCUUGAACUGGGACAUGGUGGUGGAUGACAAUGUUAGGAAAUCUGGAGAUGUCAUCAGGGGCCUGGGAAGAGUUAUAUAUAUUUUUUAAUGACUUUCCCACCUUGAAAUUGGUUCAACCAGAGAUAGGGUCCAACAUAUGAAAGAGAACCACAUGAAUUUCGGUGUUUGGUGCCCCCUCGAUGGCCAUUGUCAAUAUGGUGAACCGAGUACCAUCCAUUCCCGAUCGUACUCAUAUCUGCCUCUUUGUAUUUUUCAAUGUCCACUAGGUUAGCGAUCUUGA
Picea glauca (white spruce) is the source of this 407-nucleotide non-coding RNA. The record is from Rfam. NCBI's taxonomy places the organism in Eukaryota, Viridiplantae, Streptophyta, Pinopsida, Pinales, Pinaceae.